This is a non-coding RNA of Pelobates cultripes (western spadefoot toad), 285 nucleotides long. NCBI's taxonomy places the organism in Eukaryota, Metazoa, Chordata, Amphibia, Anura, Pelobatidae. The record is from the annotation of a GenBank genome assembly.
GUGCUUGUUUGCUCAUAGCUGACAUUGGCAAAAUGUAAUAUAUGCAAAUACAUCCUGGGAAAAUGCAUUUUAAAUUCACUAUAUUGUUUACUAUAAUUCCAGGAUAUAAUACAGCAAGGACCACUAAAGACACAAACUGCAGGAUCCAUGUAACGGUUUACUUGCACACCAUCAGUAACAGCAGAUGUUUGGCAUUUUUGUAACCUGAAUAGAGCAUCACUGAGCAGAGUUCCUCCUCAUCGAUUUUAGAAAAACUAAGAAGUGCUGUUUAGCACUCAAUACAAU